CAGUAGGGGUCCUUUCUGCCCUGGACCGCUCAGCUCUGUUACACUCAGGCAAUGCAUCGGCCAGCUCUAGUGCCGUCCCCAGCCCCGGCCAGCCUGCCUCCCCAGCCAUCAACAAGAAACAACGCCACAGCACCAAGUCGACAGCAGACGUGCAACUGCUGAAGCCUCAGCCUCGUCCUGUAACAGGGGAAAUACAGCUCCAGAUCCACUACGACAGGAACCUGGGGAACCUGAUAGUGCAUGUCCUCCAGGCCAGGAACCUUGCUCAGAGAGACCCCAAAGAAUACUCUGACCCCUUUGUCAAGGUCUACCUCCUACCAGGGAGAGGACAAGUCAUGGUAGUCCAGAACGCAAG
Salmo salar (Atlantic salmon) is the source of this 355-nucleotide non-coding RNA. NCBI's taxonomy places the organism in Eukaryota, Metazoa, Chordata, Actinopteri, Salmoniformes, Salmonidae. The record is from RefSeq and is a predicted model, not a curated record.